UGAAAACUCGUCUUGGAUCAAUAGCCAUCGAUGGAAAGAAACUCAGGCAAGUCUAGUUUCAAAUUGGCCUUGUACGCACGCUCGGCCUGCAUGGUUUCUUUCCAUUUUCAUCUCUCUUCCCUCCCCCUCCCACCAAAUAAAUAGUCGCCAUGCUCCAUUUCUUCGAUCUGCAGAAAUCGUCCGGCCAUCACCUGCCCUCCCGAAGGACCUCCAACACCAGCCAGUUUGUGUUUGGCUGCUGUGUGCUGGGCAUACAAUUCAGAGACCAAAGUACUGUGGUGCUGUGCCUGGCCUGCGACGCGGCCUUCCGUUAAUUCCUGCUGUCACGGCUGCAAGGAGUACAAGGUUUUUUAGUCAUCAUGGCUUCUUCCGGAUCCAAUGAGAAGAGAGGUGAUGAUCGCAAGGGGGGUGAAGAAGUGUGGAAAAUGGAGGCCAAGGAUAAAGAUGGAACUCCCAGAAACUCGGUAGUCUCCGCUGAAGAAUCAGAAGCUCAAGUAUCUCAACCUCGGUCAACCACGGUCACCGGAGUCUCUGCCAUCCCAACCUCUUGGAGAGUCAAAUCAUCAAACUAUCGGCUGACACCCAAAUCAUCAGCAAGGCUGUACAGAAACCCUUACUACAACUUAAUUCACAAUUUUGGAGUAGAGAACACUUCUUGUUUGGACAUUCCUGGACCUUGGGAUCGCCAUAUACCCAAGAGAGGCAAUGACCAGGAGAGCAACAGUUGGGGAACUACCAACAAUCAAAUUAUGUAGGACGUCCUUGACACCUCUGUGCUGUAGCAUCUAAUCCUGGAGAGCUAUAUAUUUUAUGUAUCUCUUGAGAGCUAUUUUACAUGCAAAGUGUGUUAUUUUCUCCUUCAGAGAAAUAUUUUCGAUGUAUCUAUUGGUGUGAGG
Molecule: long non-coding RNA, 896 nt
Organism: Triticum aestivum (bread wheat)
Lineage: Eukaryota; Viridiplantae; Streptophyta; Magnoliopsida; Poales; Poaceae
Exons: 3
Source: RefSeq, a predicted model, not a curated record